GAGUUUGAUCCUGGCUCAGAACGAACGCUGGCGGCAUGCCCAACACAUGCAAGUCGAACGAGACCUUCGGGUCUAGUGGCGCACGGGUGCGUAACGCGUGGGAAUCUGCCCAAAGGUUCGGAAUAACUCAGGGAAACUUGAGCUAAUACCGGAUGAUGUCGCAAGACCAAAGAUUUAUCGCCUUUGGAUGAGCCCGCGUAGGAUUAGCUUGUUGGUGAGGUAAAGGCUCACCAAGGCGACGAUCCUUAGCUGGUCUGAGAGGAUGAUCAGCCACACUGGGACUGAGACACGGCCCAGACUCCUACGGGAGGCAGCAGUGGGGAAUAUUGGACAAUGGGCGAAAGCCUGAUCCAGCAAUGCCGCGUGAGUGAUGAAGGCCCUAGGGUUGUAAAGCUCUUUUACCCGGGAAGAUAAUGACUGUACCGGGAGAAUAAGCCCCGGCUAACUCCGUGCCAGCCGCCGCCGUAAC
This 469-nucleotide ribosomal RNA is filed under the name uncultured Alphaproteobacteria bacterium. RNAcentral's name for it is "bacterial SSU rRNA". It matches the Rfam family "Bacterial small subunit ribosomal RNA", at positions 9 to 524 of the family's 1533-position model. The record is from RNAcentral. Lineage: Bacteria; Pseudomonadati; Pseudomonadota; Alphaproteobacteria.